This 264-nucleotide long non-coding RNA is filed under the name Phascolarctos cinereus (koala). RNAcentral's name for it is "lncRNA (ENSPCIG00000035881.1)". Lineage: Eukaryota; Metazoa; Chordata; Mammalia; Diprotodontia; Phascolarctidae. The record is from RNAcentral.
GUGGACAUGGGCACCUGCUACUCUAGCUUCUCAUAGGUGUAGUCUAGUUUAUCAGUCAUACUUCUGCCAUUCGCCUGCAUCUCCAUCAGAGUCUGCAAUAUCUUUUUAUCACCAUGAAAACUCAAGUCAAAUAAAUCUACAGGGGCUCUUGGAGACACAGCAUGAUAAAGUGGGAAGAGAAUUGGAGUGUGAGUCAGGAAACGUGAGUUCAAAUUCCAGAUCCAUUACUUAUUGUUUCUGUGAUCUAGAGAAAGUAAUUUUGCC